AAAGCCAUCACUAAUCACUACAAAGCAAUACAAAUCACCGUCAAUUUGCCACUGUACCGAUGCUCAGUUCACCGCCGUUGCAGUGACGAACUGGGCAUCGCGGCAAAGAUCAUGUGGGCUUGAAGUGCCACAACUCAAAUUAGUGACGAUCUGUGCUUGUUGGAUAUUGCUCCAACAGCCGGUUUACCACUACAGCAACGCUCAGUACACAGCCAUUACAGUGGUGAAUUAAGCGUCGCGGCUAAGACUAAGGGUGCUCAAAGCACCCUGUGAACUGAGUGUCAUGACUCAGAUCGUCAACGCUCAACGACGAUUUGAUCUUGUCGGUUGCUGCUUUGUUCCUCCCAGUCACGUUGUUCUGAUGGUGGCAUCUUCACAGUCAACAGAGGCGAUGUCAGCUUGAAGGAUAUAGAGAGAAUGGAGAAAUGUGAUAGAGAUAAUUAGGG
Molecule: long non-coding RNA, 446 nt
Filed under: Olea europaea (common olive)
Lineage: Eukaryota; Viridiplantae; Streptophyta; Magnoliopsida; Lamiales; Oleaceae
Description: long non-coding RNA (OEUR_LNC004256)
Source: RNAcentral